AGUUUUUAAAAUCUGGGGUUUAUAGGUUGCAUAGGGAAGUCACAGAUGACAUAGAACAGACUGUGUUUAUGAAAACUAAAUAAAAUAUAAAGUAGAAGAAAUUUCAAGUCUCAUAGUGGACAGCAUGAGUUCCAGAUCCAAAUAAUCCUGGAAAAAUUAAGGAAUGGUUUCAAAUAAAUACAAUUCCUUCCACCUAAUACAGUAAGUGUAAGGUUCAACACUUUGGUGGGAAGAAUAAAAUUCCUUCCUUCAACUUUCCUUGCCCUGAAACUGCACUUACCAAAAGCUGAAGACCCGAGGUCUUUCUUUGUAAAGGCUUUUGCUGAGAGUUGCCAAAUUCAGUGGACUUUGAGGCCUAAAACAUUAAUCCAUAUCAGAAAAAUAAAUAAAUAAAUAAAUAAAUAAUAAAUAAAUAAAUAAAUAAAUAGAAUAAAAAUGGGGAAGUGUGUCUGGCCCAAACAGUCCCCAGAAAUCCCCUGCAAGUGUGCCAAAACUGAGCAAACGACUGCACUAAUAAGUUGCCUGUAAAAGGAAUAAACAUUCUCCUGGUGAUUAAUUUACUCGAAUUACUGUUUUCCCUUUCCCUUCCAGUCUGCACUUUCUCCUGCUAGCCUCUAAACAAUCAUCCUUCCUCUAGCAGAACAGUAUUCCUAAGAAACAUAUGUGCAUUUAACUGAGCUCCUCUCUUUGCAGACCACAUCUACAGCAGUGGUCUGGGAUCUGGGAAAGCAGGACUCUUCCUUUCAAAAGUCCCUAGGUCUCUUGAAAAGGUAAUAACUAAUGGAGGGAUCAGGAACCAAAAGAACCGGGGAAGGAUUUGGAAAUAUCUUCAAAUGAAUUAGGAAUCUCUCAGCUGAGUGCAGAACAAAGGAGGAAAAGGCUUCGCGCACUGCAGCUCACUGUGAGGGAGGUUGAAAGAGGACCUGGGUGAACCUCCUGCUUUGAGAGCCUCAGAUCAAACAGAGCAGUGAGAAUACCAUCACUAGCUGUUUGAAGAGGAAAAAAAAUGUAUAAAAAAUAAUACAUAAAAAAAAAAAAAAGAUUUAGCCUUCACAUUUGCAUAGACCAUAAAUAAUUAAUCAAGGAAAAGAAAAGAAAAGUUCACUAAGUAUUCUCUUUCCCCACACGGGGAGGAAAUCUGUCGGAGGUGUCUGGUAUUGAUCAAGAUGCAUCAGCAGAGCUGCAGGCGAUGCCCCUGGGACCCAACAUUUUGGGGAUAGGGUGGAUUUGCUGGGACACCCAGCUGCUGUGCACAGAGACCUUCAUGAGUGGGGCCCGAGGAGGUCACAGCAGCGGUCAGGAGCUUGGAGCAUGCACACAGGGAGAGGCUGUGGGAGCUGGGUACUUCCAGGCUGGAGAAAAGAGGGUCUGAACAAGACCCUGAGCAACCUGAGCUGGCCUUGAGGCUGUCCCAUGGUUAAACAGGGUCUGAAAUAGAGACCCACAACCUCGUUUACACCUCAAGCCCACAAUUCUUUGGAAAAUGGAGUGCAGGCAUCUAUCUCUUCCCUUUAGGAGAGCCUUUUUCUGAAGGCUGCCAUCUGUGUUGAGCUGAACUCCUCUGAGGCUCCAGCGCAAAAAGCCAUUUUUUGCACGAACGCCGAGUGCAGAGCUUUGCAGCAGUCAUUUUGUUCCAGAGAGAAGCAACAGGAGGGCGUGCUUAGAGACUCCAAAAAGCUUUGGAAGAAUCAGCUCCUGUCAAGCUACAGAGUGGCCAUAUCACACUCCUCCGGCGGCCUCAGAGUUGGCCGGGCACAUUUCUGGAAGAUACUGCACCGAGAAAUGCUGGCUGCUGUCCAGAAUAUUCAAAACGUCCAUAAUAAAAUGUAAAUAUGCUCU
Long non-coding RNA from Anas platyrhynchos (mallard), 1839 nucleotides. RefSeq lists it as uncharacterized. The record is from RefSeq and is a predicted model, not a curated record. NCBI's taxonomy places the organism in Eukaryota, Metazoa, Chordata, Aves, Anseriformes, Anatidae.